This 124-nucleotide small nucleolar RNA is filed under the name Echinops telfairi (small Madagascar hedgehog). RNAcentral describes it as "Small nucleolar RNA SNORA65 (ENSETEG00000023096.1)". It matches the Rfam family "Small nucleolar RNA SNORA65". Rfam says of the family: U65 belongs to the H/ACA class of snoRNAs which are thought to guide the sites of modification of uridines to pseudouridines. Lineage: Eukaryota; Metazoa; Chordata; Mammalia; Afrosoricida; Tenrecidae. The record is from RNAcentral.
AGUUUCUGACAGCAUAGAGUUCUUUAUAAAUCUACUGUCAGGUGAGCUGAGAGUAAACCCCAGCUUAGGAAACAGGGGUGUUCUUCAUGUGGAUGACUCUGUGCCGAAAGCAUGGGGGACAGUA